GUAGUAUUCAGAAUAACGUUUUCAAUCAUGAACUUCAUCAGUUUUGUGCUGCUUCUUUUUUUUACUAUCACAGUCGUUUGGUCUAUGGAGAAUGUACCGCUGGAAGAAGAAACAUAUCAUUCAUUAGCUCUUUCCAAGCGCGGCAAAAAAUGUGUUCUAUCUGAAUGUCAAACCUGGUGUAAAGGGAGAGGAAGGUCGAAGGGAACCUGUGGAGAACGAUGUAAUUGCUCUAAAAAUUGAAAACAAAUCUGGAGGUUAUAUAGGUUUAAAAUAGUCAUUUGGAAACCCACAUUA
Wyeomyia smithii (pitcher-plant mosquito) is the source of this 294-nucleotide long non-coding RNA. RefSeq lists it as uncharacterized. The transcript has 2 exons. NCBI's taxonomy places the organism in Eukaryota, Metazoa, Arthropoda, Insecta, Diptera, Culicidae. The record is from RefSeq and is a predicted model, not a curated record.